RNAcentral lists this small nucleolar RNA (88 nucleotides) under Schizosaccharomyces cryophilus OY26. Its description in RNAcentral is "small nucleolar RNA SNORD18". It matches the Rfam family "Small nucleolar RNA SNORD18". From Rfam's summary of the family: U18 is a member of the C/D class of snoRNA which contain the C (UGAUGA) and D (CUGA) box motifs. It is encoded in introns of ribosomal protein L1 in Xenopus and human, and in introns of elongation factor 1 beta in yeast. Related snoRNAs in Arabidopsis and rice have been named R63 and Z106 respectively. Lineage: Eukaryota; Fungi; Ascomycota; Schizosaccharomycetes; Schizosaccharomycetales; Schizosaccharomycetaceae. The record is from RNAcentral.
UAAAUAUGAUGACUAAAAUUGGUCCGUGUUACUGAACGGGAUUAAGACCCCGGAUACGAAGAUAAACCCAAUUUUUAUUGCUGAUUUU